This 132-nucleotide small RNA is filed under the name Escherichia coli. RNAcentral describes it as "RtT sRNA". It matches the Rfam family "RtT RNA". From Rfam's summary of the family: This family represents a bacterial cis-regulatory element known as RtT RNA. The exact function of RtT is unknown although it is thought that it may be involved in changing the cellular response in relation to amino acid starvation. Lineage: Bacteria; Pseudomonadati; Pseudomonadota; Gammaproteobacteria; Enterobacterales; Enterobacteriaceae. The record is from RNAcentral. RNAcentral also lists the same sequence under 1 other name.
AUUCUGCCCAUGCGGGGAAGGAUGAGAAGCUUUGACCAAGGUUCGACUCGAGCGCCAGCGAGAGAGCGUUGCCGCAGGCAACGACCCGAAGGGCGAAGCGCGCAGCGCUGAGUAAUCCUUCCCCCACCACCA